RNA transcript from Harmonia axyridis, 1164 nucleotides. RefSeq lists it as uncharacterized. NCBI's taxonomy places the organism in Eukaryota, Metazoa, Arthropoda, Insecta, Coleoptera, Coccinellidae. The transcript has 2 exons. The record is from RefSeq and is a predicted model, not a curated record.
UGGAAUCUAUUAAAAUAGUACGUUUCUUGAAAAAAAAAAUAUUUACCACGAUAUUUUAUGUCGUAGAGUACGGUAGUAAAGUAUCGAGUAAACUAUUGACCACUAAUUCUGGGACGCCCUGCAUUGUAAUAAAUUAUGAAGAGAAAACCCAAUAAUUUUUUGUCUUGGAAACUUUAUUGAGUUAACAAUAAACAAAGCAAAAGUCAACCAGAAUAAACUGAGAAUUGUUUAUUAGGUACAGAAUCAAAAUUUUGAUGGAAAAACUAUAUGCAAAGUAAAAAUAUUAGAUUGAAUGACUUUUAUAAGAUUUCAAUAAUCGAGACAGAAAUGAGUAAUAUUUAGUUCUGAAAUAUUUUUCGAACGAAUUCAGUAAAAUACUCCUCAUUUUCUCUGCAAAACCCCUCCAAAAACGUAAUAAUUAUAAAAAAUUACAUAAUUGGUUCAAUAACUAACAGAAUGAUAAGACAUAAAGUACAUUAUUCUUUAUCAUCACAUUAGUGAGGCCCAUUCCUUAGUAGAAUUCGUUGAGUUUGUGUUCAGAAUUUUAUAUUUCUUUGGUAGUUUUUAAUUGUACCGAAAUCGCAUAAAGUAAUAUAGUUUCGAGAAUAUUUCAGCUUUAAAAACCUUCAUUUCAGGUUCAUCAUGGAAGCGGCAAACAGGAUGGGAUUGGUACUCCUGCCGAUAUCACUUAUGGGAAACAGGUUUUGGAUGGCGGUUAUGCUCAACCUCAUUCGUCUACCAUCCCGUGCCCUUCAGAAUAUAGCCAAAAUCCCAAUAACUGUUGCAAAAACUGGUCUAUCCAUACCCGGCAGAAUUUUUUCAGGGGUACUCAGUGUACCUAAAAACAUCAUUGCAACUCCAUUUCGACUGAUUAAAUUCGUGUUGUCCUUGCCUUUCAAAUUUAUUGUAUUAAUUUUCAAAAUCAUAACUUUCUUGCCAAGAACGGUUCUCGAAAUUAUAUUCUGAUGAAAUGUAUUAUUAACAAGGGAAGUUUUCAGGAUUGAUAUGCCGUUCAAGUAAAUGAAUAAAGUUUUCCGUUUCUUCCUUAUCCAUAAAUGAAUGAGCAAAAUGCUUUUAAUCCCUAUUUUCCUAGGACUCCGUAAUUAGAUCAGUAAGAUGAAUGUUCCAGGCCUUGUCAAUUAAUUAAAAAUGUGAAAAUAUGAA